Molecule: transfer RNA, 73 nt
Filed under: Felis catus (domestic cat)
Lineage: Eukaryota; Metazoa; Chordata; Mammalia; Carnivora; Felidae
Rfam family: tRNA
About the family: Transfer RNA (tRNA) molecules are approximately 80 nucleotides in length. Their secondary structure includes four short double-helical elements and three loops (D, anti-codon, and T loops).
Source: Rfam by way of RNAcentral
GCCUGGCCAGCUCAGUGGGUAGAGCAUGCGACUCUUGAUCUCAGGGUUGUGAGUUUGAGCCCCACGUUGGGCG